This 738-nucleotide long non-coding RNA is filed under the name Gallus gallus (chicken). RNAcentral describes it as "lncRNA (ENSGALG00010020769.1)". The record is from RNAcentral. Lineage: Eukaryota; Metazoa; Chordata; Aves; Galliformes; Phasianidae.
CCCGGCCUCCGGGAGCGGCUCCUGGCUGAGCCGGGCGGCCCCGAAAGAGAGGCACCGAUCCCGCGGGUCGAGACGCGUUCGGGCCCGGCGGAGAGUCGGGCGGGCGCCUUCGGUUCUCGCCGGGCUCCGAUCGGCAGCGGCGCGUGCUGAGCUCCUGCCCCGCACGUGGAGUCCCCGACGCCCGUUUUCCGUCUCGCGGUCCGUCCCCGUGCGGAGCUCCCGGAGCCGCGUGAAGCCGACACGGAGCCGCGUCGUGUCGGCCCCGAGGAGGGGAGCUGCGAGGGGGGAGCGGUUGUGAGGAUGGGAACUGGUUGGGAACGCGCUCAUCUCUCCGCUUCGUGCUCUGUGUGUGAAAUGAUUAAAGGUGGAGCUUUGCUUUCUCAGCACUUCCGCCCGCAGUCGUUUCUGCAGCUCCGGUGACCCCCCCACCCCCCAUCCCCGUGCCCACCUCCGGGUAAGGACGGGGCAGCACCAACGGCAGCGUCAUAGCACUGCAACCAGCAGCCCCGUCCCUCCCUGCCUCCAAAAUCCCCUCCCCUCCUCAGUCAGCACUGGGUGGGAACGUAGGGAUGGGGAAUGGUUGGGCUGGGAUUGCGGGAGAGCUGGGGCGGCUCGGCCUGCAGAAGAGGAGGCUCAGGGGGAUCCCAGGCACGGCCAUCAGUCCCUGCAGGGAGGUGCAGAGAGGACGGAGCCGGGCUGCACCCAGCGGUGCCCAGCAGCAGGACCAGAGGCGCCGGG